GUCAAUAAGAUCCCUUGAAGAACACAAGGUUGAUAGGUCAGAGGUGUAAGUGCAGCAAUGUAUUUAGCUGACUGAUACUAAUAGAUCGAAGGCUUGAUCAAAAAU
RNAcentral lists this ribosomal RNA (105 nucleotides) under Clostridium cochlearium. RNAcentral describes it as "partial 23S ribosomal RNA". It matches the Rfam family "Bacterial large subunit ribosomal RNA", at positions 2824 to 2925 of the family's 2925-position model. The record is from RNAcentral. Lineage: Bacteria; Bacillati; Bacillota; Clostridia; Eubacteriales; Clostridiaceae.